RNAcentral lists this transfer RNA (77 nucleotides) under Clostridia bacterium. RNAcentral describes it as "tRNA-Asp". It matches the Rfam family "tRNA". From Rfam's summary of the family: Transfer RNA (tRNA) molecules are approximately 80 nucleotides in length. The record is from RNAcentral. Lineage: Bacteria; Bacillati; Bacillota; Clostridia.
GGCCCGGUAGCUCAGCCGGUUAGAGCGCUAGCCUGUCACGCUAGAGGUCGUGGGUUCGAUCCCCAUCCGGGUCGCCA